This 3277-nucleotide long non-coding RNA is filed under the name Homo sapiens (human). RNAcentral describes it as "LHRI_LNC2109.1". The record is from RNAcentral. Lineage: Eukaryota; Metazoa; Chordata; Mammalia; Primates; Hominidae.
CACAGCGGCCUUGGGUUUGGGCUCCAGCCCCAGCCGGGCCCCCUCGCGCCGCUGCGGCUGCUGCGCGGUGAGGUCGUGACAAGUCACAGCUAACUUGCCCUCCGCGCCAUUCCACGCCACCAGGAAGCGCAGCCGGUGCCUCUCGGCAUCGGCGAAGAGGCCUUGCCGGACCGGCGCCCAGCCCUCCAGGCUGUCGAGCUGCUCGUCCUCCAUGGCCGUCGGCGGCAGCGGCCCUAGGACUCGGCGGGCGCGGGCCUGACCUCGUCGCACUGCCUGUCAGGGGACAGUCCCAGGCUGGAGUGCAAUGGCAUGAUCUCGGCUCACUGCGACCUCUGCCUCUUGGGUUCAAGCGAUUUUCUUGCCUCAGCCUUCGCAGUAGCUGGGAUUACAGGCAUAACUGAAGGUGAAAGGACAGAAUCACCGUGUGUUACUGGCACAGAUGCAUCGGCUAGUGAAGAAAGAAGACAUUCAAACUAGUCCCGCUCUGUCGCCCAGUCUGGAGUGCAGCAGCGCCAUCAUAGCUCACUGCCACCUAGAAGCCGGGGUGAAGCAAUCCUCCUCCAUCAGCCUUCAGAGUAGCUGGGACUACCUGCGCGGCCCACCACAGCCGGCUAAUCUUUGUGGUUUUUCUUUUGUUUUCCGUUCUGGGUUUCCGUCGGGCGCAGUGGCUCAGGCCUGCAAUCCCAGCACUUUGGAAGGCAGAGGUGGGCGGAUCACCCGAGGUCGGAGACCAGCCUGACCAACAUGAAGAAAUCCCGUCUCUACUAAAAAAAAGAAAAAAACUACAAAAUUAGCCGGAUAUGGUGGCUCAUGCCUGUAAUCCCAGCUACUAGGGAGGCCCAGGCAGGAGAAUCACCUAAAUCCGGGAGGCCGAGGUUGCGGUGGGCAAAGAUCACACCAUUGCACUCCAGCCUGGACAACAAGGGUGAAACUCCGUCUCAAAACAGAGACCGGGUUUCACCAUGUUGCCCAGGCGGUCUGGAACUCCUAGGCUCAAGCGAUCUGCCACACUCGGCCUUCCAAAGUCCUGGGAUCACAAGGGGGAGGCACCACGCCAGGCAGAUCUAUUCCUUUCUGGUUACUAAAUUGGACCGGGGGCGCGGUGGCUCACGCCUGCAAUCCCAGCACCCAGGGAGGCGGAGGCGGGCGUAUCACUCGAGGUCAGGAGCUCGAGAUCAGCCUGACCAACACGGAGAAACCCCGUCUGUACCAAAAAAAUAAAACCAAAAUUAGCUGGCAUGGUGGCUCAUGCCUGCAAUCCCAGACACUCAGGAGGCUGAGGCAGGAGAACCACCUAAACCCGGGAGGUGGAGGCCGCGGUGAGUCGAGACCACGCCACUGCACUCCAGCCUGCAAAACGAGCGAAACUCCACUCAAAAAAAAAAAAAAAAAAGACAGUGUUUCACCACGUUGCCCAGGCCGGUCUGGAAGUCCUAGGCUCAAUCGAUCGCCGCGCUCGGCCGUCCACAGUACUGGGAUCACAAGCAUGAGCUACCACGCCAGGCCGAUCUAUUCCUUUCUGGUUACUAAAUUGGACCGGGGGCACGGUGGCUCACGCCUGCAAUCCCAGCACCCAGGGAGGCGGAGGCGGGUGGAUCACCCGAGGUCAGGAGCUUGAGAUCAGCCCGACCAACACGGAGAAACCCCGUCUGUACAAAAAAAAAACACCAAAAUUAGCUGGCAUGGUGGCUCAUGCCUGCAAUCCCAGCCACUCAGGAGGCUUAGGCAGGAGAACCACCUAACCGGGAGGUGGAGGCCGCGGUGAGUCGAGACCGGAAAACACUCUAGCCUGGAAAACGAGCGAAACUCCACUCAAAAAAAAAAAAAAAAAAAAAAAAAAAAGACCGUGUUUCACCAUGUCGUCCAGGCUGGUCUGGAACUCCUAGAACAUGUAGAUGUUACCUCAUUUGGAAAAAGCAGAUUUUCAGGUAUGAUUAAGUUAAGGAUCUUGAAGAGAGAUUAUCCUGGAUUGUCUCCGUGGGCAUUAAAUCCUGGCACAUAUAUCCUUAUAAGAGGGAGAUAAAGGAGAUUUAACUUCAGACAGAAGAGAAGGAGGCCCUGUGACCAAGAAGGCAGAGCCUGGAGUGGUGGAGCUGCAAGCCAAUGAAUGCCAGCAGCCAUCAGAAGCUGCGCAAGUCAAAGGAUGGAUUUUCCCCUCAGCCUCUGAGAGCACUGGCUCUGCUGAGACCUAGAUUUCAGCCCAGUGAUACUGAUUUUGGACUUCUGAUAUCCAAAACUGUGAGAAAAUAAAUUUCUGUUGUUUUAAGUCACCACAUUUUUGGUAAUUUGCUCUAACAGCCACAGGAAAGUAACAUACAUGCCUACCUGGGUCCAGUUGUGUCCUGUGACUCCUGCUUUCCUGGGACAGGCAGGCUGCUCCGUGCCUCCUGGCCAUCCUACUGGGUGCUGGACGCUGUAGGCUGCUCCAUGCCUGUUGGCCAUUCCCUUUGGUGCUGGACAGCACUCACAUUGUGAAAUCCACUGGCCCUGUGAAAAACACCUGGAAAUGUUACCAGGAGAGGGGUUAGUUCUCUUUUUGGCAACCCAUGUUAUUGCUUAUGGCUUAAUAUCUGUGCCUCCAAGAUCCCUUCUCUCUGCCUUCAUCGAUGCCAGGAAAGCAGUCAGUCACCUUUUGCCUUUCUUUGCUUCUCAGCAAGUGGCAUGUCUCCAUGUCACUUUAAGCAUCAAGCACACGGAGCCCAAUAAGAUGCUGAAAAGUGUCUGCCUACAAGGUUACAAGGCGGUGGAGACAUUCUGAGCCGGUAACUGCAGGGCUCAGUAAAACCGCUACAGGAAAUCUCAAGUUCAAAAUGCUGAAGUGAAAAAUGGGUGAUCACAACGAAGGGAAACACAAACCCCUUCUUUUAAAAACAUUAUGGUGAUAAGGCACAACAUAAAAUUUACCAUAUUAGCCACUUGUAAGUAUACAGUGCAGUAGUGUUAAAAAUAUACAUGUUGAGUAACAAGUUUCUAGAACUUGCUUCUCUUGGAGAACUGAAACUAUAGCCACUAUACAACAACUCCCCAUUUCUCUAUCCCCUGGCUUAUGGAAACAACCGCUCUAUUUUCUGUUUCUAUGAGUUUGACUAAUUUCGAACCUAAUGUAAGAGAAAUUGUACAGCAUUUGUCUUUGUGUGAUGGGCUGAUUUCAAUUAGUGUAAUGUUUUCAAGGUUCAUCUAUAUUGCAGCAUGUGACAGGGCUUCUUUCUUUUUUAAGGCUGAUAAUUUUAUAGUAUUCCGUUGCAUGGAUAGACCACAUUUAUUCAUUUAUUUAUUU